UUUGGGGCAGGGAUGCUCCAAGUGCGGCAGGAGAGCUGGGCCUGGUUUUGGGGCUGCUGUUUAUUUAUGGGCCUCUGACUGGGGAAAAUAAAAAUACACACUGGCAAGUCAUCCCUGAAGAGUCCAAAUGAGCUGUUGGGGUUUUGGUGCCUCUUAGCUGUGCUUGUGCUGAUGAGAGAAGAAGAAAAUCCACAGGAAAGUGCAUCUUGUGUACAGGUGGCCACACAAGCAGAGUUUGCUUCUCCUGCUGGAUUCAUCAUGAUAACUCCAGCUUUUGAACUGAGCCAGGACCCGGAUUUCCUUACAGUGAAAAUCAGAGUGCCUUAUGCCAGAGCUUCAGAGUUUGACAUUUACUUUGAAGGGGAAGACUUCAAAUUUUAUGCUAAGCCAUACUUUCUCAGAUUGACACUUCCUGGAAGAAUUGUGGAGGAUGGCAGAGAAAAAGCAUCUUACAAUACAGAUGAAGGUACUUUUACAAUUCAGUUGCCCAAGGAGGUUCCUGGCCAAUAUUUUGAGGGGCUGGACAUGCUGACAUCUCUUUUAGCACCAAAGAAAUCAAGAUCAGCAAAACCUCUGGUAGAAGAGAUGGAUUCAGCUGCCUCUGCUGAGCUGUCUGAAGAGAAUGAAGAGGAAUUUGACUGGGAAAUGGAACAGACUCCUUAUGAAGAAAGCCCUCCACCACUGCAGCACCCCUAUGGCUUUGGGAAUUUGCGCUCAGGGGUGUUCCAGAGGCUGCAGGAUGAGCUCAGUGAUGUUAUUGACAUUAAGGAUCCUGACCAAACCCCUGCAGAGGAACGGAGGAGGAGACGUUUGGCAGCUGAGGCUGCCAAGUUUGAGCCUGAUCAUUACCUAGCUGAUUUUUUUGAAGAUGAAACUAUUAAGCAUCUUUUAAAGUACAAACCCUGGUGGAUUGAUGCUCAUAAAAAGAUGACAGCCUUGCAGGGAGGAAGUCAUCAGGAACAUGACAGUCCUGCAUUUGUUGUCUUCUCUGAGGAAGAGAGAGAGCAGAUGAGAAAGUUCACAAAUAAAUCUUACCUCCUGGAUAAAAGGAGCCGUCACCACGUGUAUCUUGGAUUAAUUGAUAUUCUUCUGGCAUACUGCUACGAGAUCCGUGUCAAUGAAGGGGACAAGAAUGUUGAAUCAUCUUGGAACAUCAGGAAACUGAGUGCAACGUUGUGCUGGCUGGAGAGUUUCUCCAGCAUCCAUGAUGUCCUGGUAUCUUUUGGAAGAAGAGUGCUGUGCUAUCCCCUGUACAGGCACUUUGAGCUGGUGACACGUGCCUUCAGUGACACAGGCAUGAUUCUGCAGCUGGGGAAAGCUGCAGUGUUGAAGUGUCUGCUGGACAUUCACAAGAUUUUUAUGGAGAGUGACCCUGCCUACAUCCUUAAUGAUCUCUUCAUUACAGACUACUGCAUCUGGAUCCAGAAAGUCAACUUAUGUGAAAGCUUCCUUGGAAACAAUCAAAUCCCUGAUGUCUGUCUGCAGUGAGACUUGUUCCUCACAGCUCUAUGUUCUGGAGAUAACAGCUAUCUUGGCUCUUCAGAUCCUGAGCUCUCUGUACUUCCUGGAACAAAAAGCAGGACUGGAGCUUGUAGGAGUUUGGCUUUACCUGGAGUUGUGUCCUGCUUGUCACUCGUGUCCCAGUCCUGCAGUCAGUGCCAUCACCAGCUCCUCUCUUCAUGCUGCCACAGGUGGCCUUUGCUGUAAACAUCUAAUGAUCUCCCUUUCCUCUUGCCAUAAUCCUCUUUUUAUUUUUCUCAGAGUUCUAUCCAUCUCCCUUUAUUUGCUAAAUCUCCUUUGAUUCUUUGUUCUUUUCAGCCCAGUUUCACUCCUUUAUAAUCUAAGAUCUGUAGAACAAGAUUUUUUUCUUCUUCUAGCACCUGAAGAAACUCUCCUGUGCCUAGACAAGGAUUACUGCAGUUCUGUCUUGGAAUUUUAAUUCCAGACUGCAUGGACAAGCCCCAAGAUGCUUCUCUUAUCUGUUCCUCAAAGCUAUGCAUUAAACAAAACAUGCAUCUGAUCAGUUUAACCUGUAAUUAAACAUUUUCCUUAAGCAACUGACAUUGUGAUAACUAAUAAUUAUCAUGUGUAGCACCUUUAAAACCUAUUAUGCAUGUUUAUGUAAGAACACUAUUACCAUAAUAAUAAGAUAUCAUUACCACAAAUGUGCAUACUGAAUGAGCAUGUCUUAAAGUAAUCAUGGAUUCCAUUAAUCAUACUUGAAAAAUUAAAGUAUUUGCUGUCUAAUCUCUCAAACACUACUCGAAAGAUUUUGGAAACAGCAGGGCCUGUUUACUGCAGGUCUCAUACACAAGAUCUUGUUUCUGGUGUCUCAUUUUUGUUUUCCUGAGUUGCUGCUUGUCUUUCACCUUGGGAAACCAUCAGCUCAGAGACCCAGGCCUCCCUUUGAAAGCAUCUCCAUGCUGAUUUUUAGUCUGUUUGCCUUUUUUGUCCAGGGAAUGCUGCCACCUUCUCUUAAGGCUGAUGUGAAAUGCACUCCUGAAACUUGGUUCUCCUUCAAAUUAGAUAAUUGCCUUAAAGGAGAUGAACUGAUAGCUAAUUGUAAUUCUCUUAGUCCCUUGCACAGGGGCAGAAAAGAAACAACCCCAUUCUUCAAGUGUUCUUUGUUGUUUUGUUUUGGGGUUUUUUUGUUUUUUUUUUUUUUUUUUAAUACAAGAUUGCAGAGUUGGGGAGCAGAGCUUUUUGGGUUUAUGUAUAAAAUUGUUAAGGGGUGACAGUUCUGAGUUUGUCUCAUAUUUAAAAGUUGAGCUCUGUAGAUUCUGAUGGAGACUGGAUGAGAAGAGUGAAAGUUGGGAAAAAACAUUUGACCUACUUGGAAAACAAAUGAGACUUUUUGUAGUCAGAAUAUUUGGGGUUGGAAGGGACCUUUAAAGGCCAUCUAGUCCAACCCCCUGCAGUGAGCAGGGACAGCAAGUACCUGAUGUGGCCAAGAGUUAAAAAACCAACUUAAUUGCUUUAGGGAGAUGAUUCUUUUAUCUGUCAGCAGGACCACUUUGAAUUUAGUGAUGUGUGUGGAGUCAAGUCUAUCACUGUGUGUUUUCUUCCCUAACACUUGGCAUUAGGUAACCUGGACACAGCAAAGUAUUUAUUAGUGCCAAAAAAGCACAUUGUCAUACAACUCCUAAAUACUUGAUGCAGUCUGUGAUAUAUUUCUGUAUUUUAAUAUAUAAACUGCAUUAUAAGAAAAUAGUGAAGUUGUGGGAGAGGAUUUUAAGGACUGAGUCUAGAGCAGGGGAAGUAGGCAUGAAAAGGUAGAAAAAAUAGGCAAAAAAUAGGAAAAAGCAAAAAAACCCCAUAGAAUUACAGAAUAGAGUAGAAUUAUAGAAUAUACAUAUAGAAAUUGACAGAUACAAUGGAAGUGUGGGGAGAAAGAGGACUUUGAAAAUUGCUUUUCUGUCACAAUGGCAGCAGUGAAACGGGCGAGACAGGCAGUGGGAACUGGGGGGAAAUUGUUGUGGCAGAGGGUGUGUGGUGAGUUGCUCACGGUGUCAAUGGAAUUAAAAGGAGCCAAUGAAAAGGGACAGAACAGGAUUGUGUGACAGGGCACAGCCCUGUGGCUGUGGACAGGCAGGAGCAGGAGAGGAAAAGGAGCUGAACCUUCACGGGCUGAGCAGCUCUCACUGGGGAAGGGGCACGUGCACAGACAGUUGGAAGGAAGGAAAGAGGCUGUUGGAAAAUCAAAGCAAAAUGGUUUCUGAAAGGGAUAUAAACUCUUGUGACCUGGGGUGUAAAUCAGCUUCUCCCCAGUGUGCUCAGGAGGGAGAUUUCCCUGCAGCCUCUUCUUCUGUUCCCACCUACCUGCAAGGCUCCAUGAACCUCUCAAGGCAUCACUUGGCUUCUCUUCCUUCCUCUUUUCUGAUGGAGCAGGGAGAAUGCUUGCUUUGUUCCCAAUUAACUUGGCAAUUUCUCAAAUCCCCCAUAACUUUCCAAGAAAAUUGCAAGUCCUUGACAAAAAAAUGGAAAUAAGUUGCCAGAAAGAAAACAUUAUUCUAGUAAGUUUUUUAAACUUGGUACCCCUUUUUUUAUCAGAGGCUGGUAGGAUCAUGUUGCAUUUAAUUCUUAGCUUUCAGUUUGAAAAUUCUAGAAAUAGAACUUGUUUACUGUUGCUUUACUUCUGAGAAAAUUAUUUCACAGUUUCCUGGUCGGUGGGUUGAACUAAGGAAGUCUAGUGUGUUUUAUUCCAAGUUUUUAAAGCAUUUAAAUGUUGCCCUGUCUGUAAAACGUGUAAGAAGCUGCACUGAAUUUCCCUUCCCCCACUUAAAAAUGCAAUUCCUUUAGGAGAAAAAAAAAAAAAAGUGGAAGUAUCUAUGUUAUACUGAGUAAUUAUGCCCCCUGGGAAAUAGAAUAUAAAGAUCUUUAAAAUCAUUCAAGUGAGAGAACAAGCACUUUAACUUUUGCCUGGCAGGAGCCGUGUAUUACAUCCCAGCUCCUUGCUCCAGUGUCAGUGUGUGGUGCCUUGCAGGUUCACAGCCCUGGCAGAGGAAAUGAAACCCAGUCAGUUACUGCAGGAUUUAUAGCAGACCUGCUGCUGCAGGAAGUGGUGAAAAGCUGAUUGAUAGUCCGAGGCAAAACUCCACAACAAGAAACAGGAUGUCAAAAAAGUUGGCUGCACUCUGUGAGUCCUUGCAGAAAACCACGCUCAGCAAGUCCCACAUGGGGCUGGAGCUGGAAGAGCUGGAAGCAGCAGCAGUGCUGGUACAGGAGGAAGAGAAGGCGUU
This is an RNA transcript of Passer domesticus (house sparrow), 4739 nucleotides long. It is a transcript of the gene named SHQ1, H/ACA ribonucleoprotein assembly factor, with no coding region annotated. The record is from RefSeq and is a predicted model, not a curated record. The transcript has 13 exons. Lineage: Eukaryota; Metazoa; Chordata; Aves; Passeriformes; Passeridae.